AGAUAUUGUAGGUUGUGUUGGGAUACAUAAUUUUGUAUAUAUAAGAUGAUAUACAGUAAGUUUAUUUCAUCGUAAUAUCAAAAGUUCAACGUAAUAUCAAAAGUUCAAAUGGCGUGUUCUAUUAAAUCUCGUUCCUACCCACCUUGUAUCAGUUGUGGUUGCAUGGAUGCUUCAUGCUGCAACGGAGGUAAGUUUAAGUGGCCUGAAGUGGUAGGUAUGAAGGGACAACAGGCUAAAAGUAAGAUUGAAAAAGAUGUAUCUUUUGUGACUGUUAUACUUUUAGCACCUGGAACAAUUAGAAUUGACAAUUUCUGUUGUAAUCGUGUUUUUGUUUACCUCGAUGAUAAUGGAAAAGUCAAUCAAAUCCCAAUCAUUGGUUGACUUUAUGAGGUCCAUUAUGUUACGUUAUGUUUAAUUACCACAUGAUCAUAUCUUUUUGUACUGAUGAAGUUAAAUCUUCAAUAAAAUUUAAAUUCUAAAGCUUAA
Molecule: long non-coding RNA, 486 nt
Organism: Cucumis melo (muskmelon)
Lineage: Eukaryota; Viridiplantae; Streptophyta; Magnoliopsida; Cucurbitales; Cucurbitaceae
Exons: 2
Source: RefSeq, a predicted model, not a curated record